Brassica napus (rape) is the source of this 4026-nucleotide long non-coding RNA. RefSeq lists it as uncharacterized. The transcript has 3 exons. NCBI's taxonomy places the organism in Eukaryota, Viridiplantae, Streptophyta, Magnoliopsida, Brassicales, Brassicaceae. The record is from RefSeq and is a predicted model, not a curated record.
GAUUGGGUUUUAAGGCUUCAAAUUUUUUUUUUUUUUUUUUUUUUUGGGAAUUGGGAUUUUUAUGAUUUCGAAAACCGGAAACUUUGACCCAAAGAUAAGAUUAUUUUUUGGCAGCUAGGAACAGAGAGGGGAAUGCUUGAAAUGGUGUAAUUAGAGAACACUUCAGACAAAAUACAACUAGAGAAGAAGACUCAAGGAAUUAAGGGAAAUGGAUCGAUAACUUGGAAGAAACUAGUUGCAAUGAGAGCAUCAUGAGAAACCAGCUAUAUUUCAAAAAAAAAAAAAAAAGAGAAGAUUCCAGCUAAGUAAAGACAGGUAAGAUCAUAAGAGAGAUAAUCUCGACAGAGACAGGCAGCCCAAAAAGAAAAGAAUAUGCCCAUUUUUCAAGUCUUUCUAUUAAAAUAUCACAUUUUCUUAUUUAUUUAGAAAUUAUGGAAAUCUUUGAUUCUCAUUUGAUACCCAUCCGCACAGGGAAGCUAUGUUGACUAGUUUCUCAGGUUAUUUUUUCACUUAUCUUUUAUCUUUUUAUCUGAAUGACCUCGAACAAAAAAAUUAUAUCUGAAUGACCUAUGUUCUACAUAUUCUUCUGUGUGUCAGUCCUUGACUCCUUGUUUAUAUCUUUCAUUAAACUCUGAUACAAGUUUUGUUUCUGUUUCUUUGUCUCUGGACAAACUCUAAUUAACGAAAUAAACAGAAACGAAACUUGCUAAAUAAUUUGUGACAGAUUAAAUGGCUAAAUAAUUUAUAAACUAGUGUCACAAAUUAAAUGGCUAAGUAAUUUAAAAAUAAAAAUUAACAAAAAACAGAUAUUAAUAUUUUGGGUUUUCUGCAAAAAAAACCCUCAAUGUCGUUUUUUUUGCAAAUUAAUCCGCGAACUCAAAAACUCACGGGUCAACCUUCCAAGUGCCAGUCAAAUCGCAAUAUAACCCUCGGCCAUAUUUAUGUGUAUUUGACUGUGUAUAAUUUUAACAUUUUUUCAAUACUAGGUCGUUUUGGCGCUAAUUUUUUAAUGAAAAAAAUUUGUUGAACCCCACCUUCAUUGUGCAUUUACGCAAGCUCUCAUGUCCGAGAAAAACAAGGUCAUUUCGUUUUAGAAAUCUAUAUAAUUGUGUUUGUUAAGUAAACAAAUAUAUUUGUUGGCCGAGAUGGUUAUAUAGCAUGCACAUGGUAUUUAAGGUUCAAAUUUCAAACCACGAUUUCAACAAUUUUUUUCAUUAAAAAAUUAGCGCCAAAACGAUCUAGUAUUGAAAAAAUGUUAAAAUUAUACACAAUCAAAUACACAUAAAUACGGCCGAGGGUUAUAUUGUGGGUUGACUGGCACUUGAAGGGUUGACCCGUGGGUUUUUGAGUUCGCGGAUUAAUUUGCAAAAAAAAAACCACAAGAAAACCCUAAUAUUUUUUGAUUUUUGAGCUAUCGAAAGAGUCUUUGCCAAUAUAGUUUGUGUUUUUGUUUUCAUGAAUCUGGGUUUCAUUACGGUAAGUUGUAAAUAAAAAAGAGCUAAACCAAUCAAAUCUAACCACAUUCUCACUUCUUACGACGUCAGUCGGAAGUUAGCCAACUACUUUCACUAAACAACCAAAUCAUAACUUGUAAGAGCCCGUAUACAUACUUAUAGAGUUUUCUUUUUUAACUAAGGCUUUCAUUCAACUUAUAAAAGUAAUUACAAAUGGAAAUACUUUUCAUACUCUUUUCUCAUACCAAAUAAGAAUUCUUUUCAGUUUUCAUUGAGUACAAUUUAACCUAAUAUCCAAGAUUGACUACUCAUUCAUGCACCAAAGAACCGUGCGACUGUGAGAAAACCCUUCUUAUAGCAAUGUUUUUAAACCUGAUAGAGAUACUGAACUAAAUUAUUUUUCAGGGUCACCGAUCGAGCAUAAUCAAUAGAUUAAUAAAUGCUAAUAUAUAGUUAUACAUAAAUAUAAUAUUAUUAACUAUUGGAAAUAAGAUACUAUACAACAUUCAUGUUUUAUUUACAAAAUAUAAUUAAGUAUCUACAAUUUUGUUUUUUACUAGCCAUAAAGAUAAAAUAUUUAACUAAUUUUAAUACCAAAUAGACUUUAGCUAAAAAUUGAGAUAGUAAAUAAUUAUUGUAAAAUUAACUUCAAAACCUAAAAUAAAAAAAAUAUAAAUUUGUAAUAAAUUAUCAAUAACAAAAAUAAACUUAAUGAAUCAUAUCAAUAAAUUUUAGUUUUUUCUAUUACCAUUUUCUUCAUUUUUCAAUGGCAUAGUAGAAAUUUAAUCAAUGUGUUUUCUAAAGAAUCGUAAAUAAAAUAGUUUAUUUAAUUUUAUGUAUUAUUAUUAAAAAAUAUAUGAGAUGUUUAAUCAAUAUUUUUUAGAAAUAUCAUCAAUUUUUUAUAAUUUUUUUUUGGUCAACUGAUAUUGGAUCACAAGGUAAUGACAACGGUUUGAAUUUGUAUUAAAUUUAUCAGAUUUUUAAUUAAUAAUGUUUUUUUAAUUCGAACUAUAUUAUAUAUGAAUCACCGUGUUUACUGGUUUGAUUAUGAGUCCAUGUCAGGUAUGAAGUGCACAAAAUGGCAACCGUAGAACCGAACCGAAUAUGGUUUUAUGUUAUAGAUAAUCAUACUAAUUAAAUUAUCUAAUAUAUUAAUUUAGAGUCAUAUUUGUAAUUUUACCGUGGCAUAUUUUAAAUUUGAACGUAUUGAACAUGUUAUGGUAAUAUAAAAUUUCAAAACACACUUCUUAUUCAAUCUUAAAAUAAUGUAUUUUUGUAUCAACUUAAUAAUAUUCUUAAGUGACAUUAACUCAUAUAGGCUCAUAAUGGUAAUAGUGGGUUACAGUGUGGAUCAAGCAAAAAAUAUAAUUGUGGUACGGUUCAAGUAGGGUUUUGUAAAAAACGCAUAUUGCGAUAUACGUGCAGUUAAACUAGAAAAAACAGUACAUAAUUAAAUUUGAAUGGUAACCAGAAUAACAUACAGUAUGAAACAUUAAAUAUUUGAAUUAUAGCAAAAACUAUAAAUGGUACAAAAUACAAAUUAUAGAUAUUUGUUUUUAUAAACUGAAAUAAAUUAUGAUUCAAAUUGUUUUAAAUAAUAAUUUAUCUGUUAAACAUAAUAUAUAUUAUUUAGAUAAAGAACGGAAAAUUUAAAACUUACGCAUAUACAACACAUUCAAUAUUUAUUAUUUUACAUAUUUUAUUUGUCAUAAUUAGUUUUAUUAAUUAAAUGAUUGACAUGUAAAAGAGAAUUCAAAGCUGUAAAAUAUUAGUGGUUGUAUUUAUUUUCUUCUACAUUUUUAAUAGUUAAACAAGAUAAAACAAUUUUAUUUACAAUGAUGUAUCCAACCACAUCAUAUGGGCUCUCUUCACAAUUCUACAUGAGGUCCAAGCCAAAAGCUAUCACGCACUAUUUUUUUUUAAUGUAUGAUUAUUUUAUUUAUAAAAAUUGGUAGCCAAAACAUAGUUGAAUGGUGAUGACAUAUUAUUGUCCUAUAGUGCGUUUUUUUUUUACCCGUUUAAAACAUUUAAGUCCGUAGUCAUUCAAUUCCUUCUUUUAUUAUUUGUAAUAAUUGAAUUUUAAAAUCAGGAAACCUUAAUUUCGAUUUCUAGGUUAUGUAUCGAAAGGAAAAAAGAUGAUAUCUCAAUUCUUGGAUCAGUCUGUACCGUCAAAAGCUCACGCUUCAUGGUUGUGUAUCGAAAGGGAAGAAGAUGAUAUCUCAAUUCUUGGAUCAGACUGGGUUGUGUGGAUAGCAGUCUGUUCUGCCAAAAGCUCACGCUACAUGGUAAAAUCUUGGCUGGAAACAAUGCCAAGAAAAAUCAAAACUUUUCAGAGAUUCUCGAGAAGGUUGAAGGAGAAGGAUACUUAUUUCCAUGGCGAACAAUUUAUAUCAUGUAUGUAAUUAAAACAAACAAAUCAUUUUUUCGAAAUGUUCUACAUGUAAAUACAUGUUUGAUCAUCAAAUAAUCAACCGGUCAACUCUGAUUGACUCGGUUUAGUUUCUGUGAUCUGAACAUGAAAUGCCCUAUAGUAUGAUUUUUCACUGCAAAUUGAAAAUUUGUUUGUGGUUUA